GGGAUACAGGUCUCCGUAGGUGCACCUGCGGAGGGAUCAUUACACAAAUAUGAAGGCGGGCUGGAACCUCUCGGGGUUACAGCCUUGCUGAAUUAUUCACCCUUGUCUUUUGCGUACUUCUUGUUUCCUUGGUGGGUUCGCCCACCACUAGGACAAACAUAAACCUUUUGUAAUUGCAAUCAGCGUCAGUAACAAAUUAAUAAUUACAACUUUCAACAACGGAUCUCUUGGUUCUGGCAUCGAUGAAGAACGCAGCGAAAUGCGAUAAGUAGUGUGAAUUGCAGAAUUCAGUGAAUCAUCGAAUCUUUGAACGCACAUUGCGCCCUUUGGUAUUCCAAAGGGCAUGCCUGUUCGAGCGUCAUUUGUACCCUCAAGCUUUGCUUGGUGUUGGGCGUCUUGUCUCUAGCUUUGCUGGAGACUCGCCUUAAAGUAAUUGGCAGCCGGCCUACUGGUUUCGGAGCGCAGCACAAGUCGCACUCUCUAUCAGCAAAGGUCUAGCAUCCAUUAAGCCUUUUUUUCAACUUUUGACCUCGGAUCAGGUAGGGAUACCCGCUGAACUUAAGCAUAUCAAUAAGCGGAGGAA
RNAcentral lists this ribosomal RNA (583 nucleotides) under Alternaria tenuissima. RNAcentral's name for it is "eukaryotic LSU rRNA". The stretch from base 208 to 361 matches the Rfam family "5.8S ribosomal RNA". The record is from RNAcentral. Lineage: Eukaryota; Fungi; Ascomycota; Dothideomycetes; Pleosporales; Pleosporaceae.